RNAcentral lists this ribosomal RNA (550 nucleotides) under Leptodontidium sp. bc_besc_86c. Its description in RNAcentral is "eukaryotic LSU rRNA". The stretch from base 197 to 350 matches the Rfam family "5.8S ribosomal RNA". Lineage: Eukaryota; Fungi; Ascomycota; Leotiomycetes; Helotiales; Leptodontidiaceae. The record is from RNAcentral.
CGGGGGCUACCCUACUCCCGUAGGGUUUAGAGUCGUCGGGCCUCUCGGAGAAGCUCGGUCCUGAACUCCACCCUUGAAUAAACUACCUUUGUUGCUUUGGCGGGCCGCCUCGUGCCAGCGGCUUCGGCUGUUGAGUGCCCGCCAGAGGACCCCAACUCUUGUUUUUAGUGAUGUCUGAGUACUAUAUAAUAGUUAAAACUUUCAACAACGGAUCUCUUGGUUCUGGCAUCGAUGAAGAACGCAGCGAAAUGCGAUAAGUAAUGUGAAUUGCAGAAUUCAGUGAAUCAUCGAAUCUUUGAACGCACAUUGCGCCCUCUGGUAUUCCGGGGGGCAUGCCUGUUCGAGCGUCAUUAUAACCACUCAAGCUCUCGCUUGGUAUUGGGGUUCGCGGUUUCGCGGCCCCUAAAAUCAGUGGCGGUGCCUGUCGGCUCUACGCGUAGUAAUACUCCUCGCGAUUGAGUCCGGUAGGUCUACUUGCCAGCAACCCCUAAUUUUUUUAAGGUUGACCUCGGAUCAGGUAGGGAUACCCGCUGAACUUAAGCAUAUCAAA